UACGGAGGGAGCUAGCGUUGUUCGGAAUUACUGGGCGUAAAGCGCGCGUAGGGGGAGUACCAAGUGAGGGGUGAAAUCCCGGGGCUCAAGCCCGGAACUGCCUUUGAAACUGAUAGGCUAGAAUCUUGGAGAGGCGAGUGGAAUUCCGAGUGUAGAGGUGAAAUUCGUAGAUAUUCGGAAGAACACCAGUGGCGAAGGCGACUCGCUGGACAAGUAUUGACGCUGAGGUGCGAAAGCGUGGGGAGCAAACAGG
This 253-nucleotide unclassified non-coding RNA is filed under the name uncultured Sphingomonadaceae bacterium. RNAcentral describes it as "contains 16S-23S intergenic spacer region". It matches the Rfam family "Bacterial small subunit ribosomal RNA", at positions 524 to 776 of the family's 1533-position model. Lineage: Bacteria; Pseudomonadati; Pseudomonadota; Alphaproteobacteria; Sphingomonadales; Sphingomonadaceae. The record is from RNAcentral.